UGGGGUGUGGCUCAGCGGUAGAGCGCUCGCCUAGCAUGUGCGAGACCCUGGGUUCGAUGCUCAACACCACAU
Molecule: transfer RNA, 72 nt
Filed under: Marmota monax (woodchuck)
Lineage: Eukaryota; Metazoa; Chordata; Mammalia; Rodentia; Sciuridae
Rfam family: tRNA
About the family: Transfer RNA (tRNA) molecules are approximately 80 nucleotides in length. Their secondary structure includes four short double-helical elements and three loops (D, anti-codon, and T loops).
Source: Rfam by way of RNAcentral